GCUCGAGUGGCGAACGGGUGAGUAACACGUGAGUAACCUGCCCUUGACUUUGGGAUAACUUCAGGAAACUGGGGCUAAUACCGGAUAGGAGCUCCUGCUGCAUGGUGGGGGUUGGAAAGUUUCAGCGGUUGGGGAUGGACUCGCGGCUUAUCAGCUUGUUGGUGGGGUAGUGGCUUACCAAGGCUUUGACGGGUAGCCGGCCUGAGAGGGUGACCGGCCACAUUGGGACUGAGAUACGGCCCAG
RNAcentral lists this ribosomal RNA (244 nucleotides) under uncultured Actinomycetales bacterium. Its description in RNAcentral is "partial 16S ribosomal RNA". It matches the Rfam family "Bacterial small subunit ribosomal RNA", at positions 89 to 334 of the family's 1533-position model. Lineage: Bacteria; Bacillati; Actinomycetota; Actinomycetes; Actinomycetales. The record is from RNAcentral.